UUUUUUUUUUUUUUUUUUGGUUUUGUGUCUUAAUUCUUUCAGGGUCAUCGCCAGGAUGCUUUUCCUCCGGCCAGGUGGAGCCAGCAUCAGCGCCUGCCAGCAGCAAUUCCCUUCAAUAGCCGAGGAAGCACUUGGGGCUUGGCCAGGGAGGCCGCUCCUUGCUUGCGGGGCUGACUUUAGCCUCCACUACUCUCCCGCAUCCAUCUGCGUGUAUAUUAUCCCCAUCCCUUUUUAUUCCAAUAGAUCCGCCUUUGGUUUGGACUGGCUGAAACGCGGCGGACUGCAACCAGGAUCCUUUAAAGGAGAACAAAAAGAUGAGGAUAUUGUGCGGGGGUUCCGGGACAAAGCGUCUUGGGACGCGCGGAACUCUGGCUCCCCGAUUGGAGAGAUCAACGCUGCCCAACAGUACCCGGCCGGACCUGCGGACCUCUGAGCGAGAGGACCGCAGCAGGAGAGUUCCGGAAGGCUGAUUCCCACAGAUCCUGGUAAGGGACCGCAGCAGCUCUGCCCUGCGGCACGCCCGGCCAGGCUACACCCGGACCCUACACUCAAGGAAAAAGCUUGGAAACGAAAGGAUGCGGGAGAACAAAGAGCCUACGGAGGACGUGGCUGUUAUCUCAUUGUCUGUGACUGGGGGAGCUGCGGUAGGAAGGAUGCGGUGGUCCUUAGCUCAUCGCGUUCCCCAACCCCACACCCUCCCUGCUGUCAGUGCGCACGCACACGCACGCGUCGCCAGCUUUUUCUUUCUCAUCUCUCA
RNAcentral lists this long non-coding RNA (757 nucleotides) under Mus musculus (house mouse). Its description in RNAcentral is "Mir124-1 host gene". The record is from RNAcentral. Lineage: Eukaryota; Metazoa; Chordata; Mammalia; Rodentia; Muridae.